RNAcentral lists this ribosomal RNA (450 nucleotides) under uncultured bacterium. RNAcentral describes it as "partial 16S ribosomal RNA". It matches the Rfam family "Bacterial small subunit ribosomal RNA", at positions 354 to 796 of the family's 1533-position model. The record is from RNAcentral.
GUGGAGAAUUUUGGACAAUGGGCGCAAGCCUGAUCCAGCAAUGCCGCGUGCAGGAAGAAGGCCUUCGGGUUGUAAACUGCUUUUGUACGGAACGAAACGGUCCUGGCUAAUACCCGGGGCUAAUGACGGUACCGUAAGAAUAAGCACCGGCUAACUACGUGCCAGCAGCCGCGGUAAUACGUAGGGUGCGAGCGUUAAUCGGAAUUACUGGGCGUAAAGCGUGCGCAGGCGGUGCUGUAAGACAGGCGUGAAAUCCCCGGGCUCAACCUGGGAAUUGCGCUUGUGACUGCAGUGCUGGAGUGCGGCAGAGGGGGAUGGAAUUCCGCGUGUAGCAGUGAAAUGCGUAGAUAUGCGGAGGAACACCGAUGGCGAAGGCAAUCCCCUGGGCCUGCACUGACGCUCAUGCACGAAAGCGUGGGGAGCAAACAGGAUUAGAUACCCUUGUAGUCC